RNAcentral lists this ribosomal RNA (665 nucleotides) under Lactobacillus crispatus. RNAcentral describes it as "bacterial SSU rRNA". It matches the Rfam family "Bacterial small subunit ribosomal RNA", at positions 20 to 652 of the family's 1533-position model. Lineage: Bacteria; Bacillati; Bacillota; Bacilli; Lactobacillales; Lactobacillaceae. The record is from RNAcentral.
UGGCUCAGGACGAACGCUGGCGGCGUGCCUAAUACAUGCAAGUCGAGCGAGCGGAACUAACAGAUUUACUUCGGUAAUGACGUUAGGAAAGCGAGCGGCGGAUGGGUGAGUAACACGUGGGGAACCUGCCCCAUAGUCUGGGAUACCACUUGGAAACAGGUGCUAAUACCGGAUAAGAAAGCAGAUCGCAUGAUCAGCUUUUAAAAGGCGGCGUAAGCUGUCGCUAUGGGAUGGCCCCGCGGUGCAUUAGCUAGUUGGCAAGGUAAAGGCUUACCAAGGCGAUGAUGCAUAGCCGAGUUGAGAGACUGAUCGGCCACAUUGGGACUGAGACACGGCCCAAACUCCUACGGGAGGCAGCAGUAGGGAAUCUUCCACAAUGGACGCAAGUCUGAUGGAGCAACGCCGCGUGAGUGAAGAAGGUUUUCGGAUCGUAAAGCUCUGUUGUUGGUGAAGAAGGAUAGAGGUAGUAACUGGUCUUUAUUUGACGGUAAUCAACCAGAAAGUCACGGCUAACUACGUGCCAGCAGCCGCGGUAAUACGUAGGUGGCAAGCGUUGUCCGGAUUUAUUGGGCGUAAAGCGAGCGCAGGCGGAAGAAUAAGUCUGAUGUGAAAGCCCUCGGCUUAACCGAGGAACUGCAUCGGAAACUGUUUUUCUUGAGUGCAGA